Molecule: ribosomal RNA, 504 nt
Filed under: uncultured bacterium
Lineage: Bacteria
Description: partial 16S ribosomal RNA
Rfam family: Bacterial small subunit ribosomal RNA
Source: RNAcentral
AUUGAACGCUGGCGGCAUGCCUUACACAUGCAAGUCGAACGGCAGCAUGGAGAGCUUGCUCUCUGAUGGCGAGUGGCGAACGGGUGAGUAAAGCAUCGGAACGUACCGUGUAAUGGGGGAUAACGUAGCGAAAGUUACGCUAAUACCGCAUACGACCUGAGGGUGAAAGCAGGGGAUCGCAAGACCUUGCGUUAUACGAGCGGCCGAUGUCAGAUUAGCUAGUUGGUAGGGUAAAGGCCUACCAAGGCGACGAUCUGUAGCGGGUCUGAGAGGAUGAUCCGCCACACGGGGACUGGGACACGGCCCAGACUCCUACGGGAGGCAGCAGUGGGGAAUUUUGGACAAUGGGGGAAACCCUGAUCCAGCCAUGCCGCGUGAGUGAAGAAGGCCUUCGGGUUGCAAAGCUCUUUCGGCCGGGAAGAAAUCGCACAGGCUAAUACUCUGUGUGGAUGACGGUACCGGCAUAAGAAGCACCGGCUAACUACGUGCCAGCCGCCGCUGUAA